AUUGAACGCUGGCGGCAGGCCUAACACAUGCAAGUCGAACGGUAACAGGAAACAGCUUGCUGUUUCGCUGACGAGUGGCGGACGUGUGAGUAAUGUCUGGGAAACUGCCUGAUGGAGGGGGAUAACUACUGGAAACGGUAGCUAAUACCGCAUAACGUCGCAAGACCAAAGAGGGGGACCCUCGGGCCUCUUGCCAUCGGAUGUGCCCAGAUGGGAUUAGCUUGUUGGUGGGGUAACGGCUCACCAAGGCGACGAUCCCUAGCUGGUCUGAGAGGAUGACCAGCCACACUGGAACUGAGACACGGUCCAGACUCCUACGGGAGGCAGCAGUGGGGAAUAUUGCACAAUGGGCGCAAGCCUGAUGCAGCCAUGCCGCGUGUAUGAAGAAGGCCUUCGGGUUGUAAAGUACUUUCAGCGGGGAGGAAGGGAGUAAAGUUAAUACCUUUGCUCAUUGACGUUACCCGCAGAAGAAGCACCGGCUAACUCCGUG
RNAcentral lists this ribosomal RNA (490 nucleotides) under uncultured bacterium. RNAcentral describes it as "partial 16S ribosomal RNA". It matches the Rfam family "Bacterial small subunit ribosomal RNA", at positions 30 to 507 of the family's 1533-position model. The record is from RNAcentral.